Long non-coding RNA from Macaca mulatta (Rhesus monkey), 169 nucleotides. RefSeq lists it as uncharacterized. NCBI's taxonomy places the organism in Eukaryota, Metazoa, Chordata, Mammalia, Primates, Cercopithecidae. The record is from RefSeq and is a predicted model, not a curated record.
CGGCCGCAACCUUGUUUUGACUGAGUCAGUGGGAGCCAUUACUGUUCCUCCAUGUACACUGGCGUGACAAGAGUUCCGGGAUUGUCCACAGCACCGUGAUGUGGAAGCCCUGGGGAGAGAAUGAUAAAGAAAGGGGGGUUCUCCAGAGGGCCAGAACUAACAGGAUAUA